RNAcentral lists this long non-coding RNA (5720 nucleotides) under Brassica napus (rape). RNAcentral's name for it is "long non-coding RNA (BNAP_LNC022221)". Lineage: Eukaryota; Viridiplantae; Streptophyta; Magnoliopsida; Brassicales; Brassicaceae. The record is from RNAcentral.
CUUCUGCUGACGGAUCCUUUGGAGACACCAGAAGCAUGCGCCAUCAGCUCCUUGUAUUUGUAGUCUUGCUUCUUCUUGCCUGAACAAAAGGGGCAUCUCAGCGUUCCGUUCACCUUCUUAACCUUGUAAUGCCCGGUUUGGAGUUUCAGGUAGGGUUUUUGGGAGUAGUCAUCGAUCUCUGACUCGCUGAUCUCGGACUCUUCAUCAGGUGGAGGUGGAACAUCCAUCUUAAGCAAUCAAGAGGAUGGAUUAUAAAGAAAAUCAGAAAAAAACCGAAUCACUUUUAUAAGGAAGCAAAACUUCACAGGAAAGUUCAUGCAGCAAAAGGUUUGCUCUGAUCAUUCUGAAGAUGAAGCUAAAGGAAAGGCCCAAAAUAGACUCAAUUUCCUAGGAAAAUGAGUUCGCUAAUAUCGAAAUCACAGGAGCAAGCAUUAUAUAGAGAGUCUGUUACGAUAAGUAACCUAACGAAAAAAUGCGAAGAAUAUACAGAGGAAGUGAGGUAAAGCGUUAAAAGCAGAGGAAACACAGUACGAAAUAGAUUUCACUAUGAAGACGAAUGCAUAGAGAAAACUGGAGCUUACUAGCGACGGGGAACGAGAUGUAAAACACGGCGAUUGAUGAGGAGAGGAGAGUGAGGACUGAGGGAUACGAAAAGUUAGGGCUCAAGAGUGAAGGGAGAGGGAUUUUAGCACGAUUAAAAAAGAGUAACUAAUGUCAAGAGUGGGGUUCGAACCCACGCCCUUUCGGACCAGUACCUGAAACUGGCGCCUUAGACCACUCGGCCAUCUUGACUAUUGCCUGACUGUUAUUAAUAAAAUAUAUAGAGUGUAUCUGAUAAGUAAGGGUUAUGUAUAAUAUCACGUGUCAAGUUUGACUAGAACGUGUGGGUCAACUGUCCAAUGUACAUAUAUAAAUAAGCUUAGUGUAGGGUGAAAAACACUGGAUCAUCGCCCCCCUAAUCAUCGCCAUUCUCGAAUUAAAUUACUGAUUACGCAAAAAAGGAACCUAUUUGCCUCCGAACCAACUCUCUUCUUCUCUCCAUCAGAUCCGUUCUUCCUUCCCUCGUUAUCGAACCUAUUAGAUCGCGAGUUGAAGGUUCGGUUACGAGGAGGAAGAAAGGUUAUUCUUUGAUCUGAUUUCACAAAGGAGAGUUUUUGGCUGAUUCAUAAAAACACCAUGGACGUUCCUAGCUCUUGGGAUGCUUUACGCAAACAGGUAAUUUUCUCGUGUGUUUUUUACUCUAACCUUCUGGGUAUCUACUAAAUCGAUAUCCUUCUUCUGGGUCUCAAUCGAAUUGAGGAAUUGAUUGGCUAUUUCUUGUUGGCUCAAUCUCACAAAGAUGAGAUUUUUAUUCUAUUGGAUCUAACUGUAGUGUCAACGAUAAACUUUAAAGGAAGAUGCUUUUGUGUUUUCUGCGUUUUGAUUUUGACAGGCUAGGAAGAUUGAAGCUCAGCUUGACGAGCAGAUGCAUUCAUAUCGCAGACUCGUUUCCACAAAGGCUCUGAUAAAGUCAGAUGGUGCAGAGAGUGACCUUGAAGCUGGGAUUGACUCACUGCUUAGGCAACUGCAACAAGUUAAUGCUCAGAUGCAAGCUUGGGUUUCUUCAGGUGGUUCAGAGAUGGUCUCUCAUACUUUAACUCGUCAUCAGGAGAUCCUUCAGGAUCUGACACAGGUAUGUAUGAUCCUUAGAUAAUUAUUUAAUCUCUUAAGCUUGGGUUGAUGAGGUUCUGAUUAGCAAUGCAAUGAAUGUUAGACUAGUUUAUGACUCAGCCUUUGUUGUGGAAUGAGCCUUGUUCCUGUAUGUAUGACUUAUUCAAAAUGCAGGAGUUUUAUCGACACCGAUCAAGUCUUAGAGCGAAACAAGAGCAUGCUUCACUUCUUGAGGACUUUAGAGAAUUUGAUCGGACUAGGUUAGACUUAGAAGAUGGGGAUGGCUCUACGGAACAAGCCUUGCUCAAAGAAAACGUGGGAAUCAACCGCAAUGCAGCUCAGGUAAAUAAAAUCCUUGUUAUAGACUAUGCAGAUGUAUCAUACAUUAAGAUGUGCUUUAUCAGUUUAGUUGAAGACCACCAUAGCUUAUGUGAACUUAUUGUAUAUAAACGGUGCAGAUGGAUGGUGUCAUUUCACAAGCUCAGGCAACACUUGGUACACUCGUGUUUCAGCGCUCAACUUUUGGAGGCAUCAACUCUAAGCUUAGCAAUGUCACCAGCCGUCUACCCACGGUACAAAGAGCUUUCCUUUCUCUUAUUUGCAUACUCUUUUGCUCUUUGCUUUCUUUCUGUGUGGAUAUCAUAUGUAUACCUGACUCUGCAAUGCCAUGGUUAAACCCACUCUGCAGGUGAACACUAUUCUGUCAGCGAUAAAGAGGAAAAAGUCAAUGGAUACAAUCAUUCUUUCACUAGUUGCGGCUGUAUGCACGUUUCUCAUAUUCAUCUACUGGUUAACCAAGUAAAAUUUUUCAAUUCAUCUCUGUUGGGCCACGUCUGGUUUUCCCAUGAUGUUAAUUUGUUAUGUGAUCAUCCAUCGGUGUUCUAGUAAAGAAUCUAAAGAUCAAAAACAUAAAUAUUUUGUGUACAGCAAAACUUCAUUCCUAUGUUUUGCAGUUUUGACGAGCUUAUACAACCAUCUGUUUCUUUCAUCUGAUACUGGAUUUUUGGCUCUGUAGCAGAGUUGUGGCUUUGAGGAUGAUACAAAUAUUUGAAAUCAAUCUGGCUUUAAUAAAAUUCUAAUCAUAAAUGAUUAUGUAUCCACUGUGUACGUAGCUAUAUCACAUGUAACAAAAAUCAUAUAAUGUGUCUUUUUGAAGUUUGAAGGAUGAAAACUCAAAUAAAACUGUGCUGAAUCAGUUUGUUGGCCCAACGAUCCUGCAAUCCAAACACAUACACAGAGAUUAGUCAGUCAAUAAAGAGAGUUCGAGCUUAAACUGUGUGUUUGAAAAGAUUACUUACUCAAGUGAAUGAUUUUCAGCUCUCAGGCUUGCUUUUCACUAAUCCACUCAACAAAACUGUCGAGAACCAAUGGCCAUGCAAGCUCUGGAUUGUAUUCCGUCAUCUCCGGGAAACUUAUCUGUAUAAACACUGUCUAGUUAGUUGAUGAAACUGCCAAGUAGGGAACUAAAAAGACUAGGAAACAUACCUCAUUGCAGAACCUGUAAAAGCCCAUCCAUUGAUCCAUGUUUAUGACUUUGUAGUCGUUUUGGAUCUGUGAAACAAAACUCAGAUGAUGAUAACAUUGCGAGUAAAACAAAAAGGCGUUAUUUUAAAGUGAUGAAGACCUUUAAAUACUCGACAAAGUAGUCAACUUGGGCUCGGAAAGUAGAUCCCAUGACAAUAUCCAGAAGUUGACAUAUAGUCUCUAUGUCUAUGCUCUUCUGUUUUUCCUCUGCAUUAGUAAACAAAGAUCAUAUAAACAUAAAAAUGUGAUCCGUGAAAUAAAAAAUCCCAUGUAGAAGCUGGAGUUAAUAUUACCUGUUAAACAAUAGCGGAAGGCAUAAGCAUAGAAAUCUGCAAAAUUUGAUUGCCGCCUGACCUUAAAGAGAUUAAAAAAAAAAAAGGAAGAAAAGCUUAAGCAUGACUCAAUGCUCAGAAGAUGCCAACCAAACAAUAUAUGAAAAAUGAAAACGAAAGAAUAAAACUUUGAACCUCUUUCUCAAGCUCGGGAAGGGCUUUCUUCAGUUUACUGAGUGUAUCAGCUCUUAAAGCCUUAAGACCUCUUCUCCACUCCUCCUACAGAUGCACAGUAAGUUAAUAAAACAAAAAGGAAAAAGAACCAAACUCAAUUCGAGUAUCAGAAAAAAGUGAUCUCACCUGCGUAAAGUAACCUUGUUUCUCAGCUUUCAUUUUCCUACAAUGUAAGAAGAGUAAAUGUAAAUAUUGCUAAAAGAAAAAGAAAAAAAAGAGAUGUAUUUAGAAAGUUUUGAUGGAUGGAUAUGAUAGUAAUAAGUACCAAGCAAGCAUCAAGAUUCUGAUAUCAGUAUGAGGCACUUCCAAGUUGGAGCAUAGCUCCUCUAUUCCUUCAGGGCUAACAUAUCAGAAGCAAUGAAUGUUAUGGCGGGAAGUGGAUAUAACAGAAACGAAGUAACUUCGUACACUCAAUGGCACGCACACUAGGAAGAAACCGAGCUUGAAAAGAUCAAAAUGGAAACUUACUCGAUGAGGUUGGAAGAUGUAUUGGCGUAUUGAUUAAACAAAUGGUCUAUUCGAUCCAUCUCUUUACUCGUCGCCUUACUCGGACCUGAAACCAUUAACAAAAAGUUGAUUCGAAAAGUGAAAGUCUUUGUUUCGUCAAAAGAUCAAUUGGAAGUGUUCACUUGUUUCAAAGGAUUCGUCUUUAGUCAUUAAUCAGCACACAUCACAAAGAAAUCAACUUUUCAGCAUAAUUAUACAUAUAUAAACCCUAGGAAGAUUCCGUUAAAUUGAUCGGGAAAGAUAUAUAUAUAUAUAUAGAGAGAGAGAGGAACCUGAGCGAAAGAGAUCGGUGGUGGAAGAUGUGAUUGAAUCAGAUUUCUUCUUCGAUGCUGCAGAAGACGGAGAGAAGAAGUAGUAAUAAAUAAGCAGAGAAACACAGAAGAAGAGGAAAGAGUACCACCACCACCACCACCACCACCACCACCACGAACGAAAGCUUCUAGAUGCAGCAUCUUUGCUUCCAGUUCAUUGCUUAGCCUCUCUUUAUCUUCAAGGAUCUUCUGGAUACUGCGAAUCGACAUCUGAUGCAUCUUCUUUGUUUCUGAGGAGAUAAAUUAGAGGCAAUAAUCAGACACCCUAAAAAACAUGCUAGAUGAAUGAUAAACAUAUUAGUUUUUUUUUUUUUCAGUUAAAAACCUUCUGCAUAAGCUUCGUCCAAGUUUUUCUUCUGGUCCUUGACCCUCUUCAGUAACAUAGCCGUCUCGUUGUAACUGUACUGAACCUUGUUCAGAUCCUCAUUAGUCAUAGCGAUCAUACUCGAGAGUUCUUCAAGAACACUGUUUCUAUCCUCAGCUUUUUCUUGAGAGAUAUCUGAAACGGUUCUUAGCUUCCCCUCCUUGGAGAGGUACUCACCGAUGGGUCCUUCAGAGUUAUAGUCUUCCGCACGUGCGCACCAUCCAUAAGCCUUGGACUCAGAAUCUCCCCUCUUCUCUACCCACUCCUUUUUGCUGCAGCCUUCCCUCUCAAACUCCUUCUCAAGCUCUGUCGCACUCGCAAACCCACUCCAGUCGCUGUUAAACUCAGCAACAACCGCAACAACACAAUCUUUUUGAACCAAGAACACAUUCACAUCAACAGGCUUGAACCUAGAAAGACGCUUCAACCAAUACCCCGAAUCGAGUAUAACCUCCUUGUCGUCAUCAGUUUCUUUCAAAGGAUUCAUCACAAUCCCCAUCCACGGCCAGACGUAAACCUCACCCGGUUUUGGUUCUGUCUCUUUUAACUGAGGGCGUCGUGGAAGAGGCUCUGCAUGACCACUACCAGCAAGUUCGGUCUCUAAGUACUUAGCCAAGGCGAGAUGAUUAGCCUUCUGUUUAGCACUUCUGCUGACGGAUCCUUUGGAGACACCAGAAGCAUGCGCCAUCAGCUCCUUGUAUUUGUAGUCUUGCUUCUUCUUGCCUGAACAAAAGGGGCAUCUCAGCGUUCCGUUCACCUUCUUAACCUUGUAAUGCCCGGUUUGGAGUUUCAGGUAGGGUUUUUGGGAGUAGUCAUCGAUCUCUGACUCGCUGAUCUCGGACUCUUCAUCAGGUGGAG